CCUACGGGAGGCAGCAGUGAGGAAUAUUGGUCAAUGGGCGGGAGCCUGAACCAGCCAAGCCGCGUGAAGGAAGAAGGCGCCAGGCGUCGUAAACUUCUUUUGUCGGGGAACAAAGGGCGCCACGCGUGGCGUUGUGAGUGUACCCGAAGAAAAAGCAUCGGCUAACUCCGUGCCAGCAGCCUCGGUAAUACGGAGGAUGCAAGCGUUAUCCGGAUUUAUUGGGUUUAAAGGGUGCGUAGGCUGUGAGGUAAGUCAGCGGUGAAAUGCCCCCGCACAACGGGGUGAAGUGCCAUUGAUACUGCGUGGCGGGAAGGCGGAUGCCGAGGGAGGAAUGUGGGGGGGAGGGGGGAAAUGAAUAGAGAGCACAGAGAACAGCGAUUGCGAAGGAA
This 389-nucleotide ribosomal RNA is filed under the name uncultured bacterium. Its description in RNAcentral is "partial 16S ribosomal RNA". It matches the Rfam family "Bacterial small subunit ribosomal RNA", at positions 338 to 723 of the family's 1533-position model. The record is from RNAcentral.